This 495-nucleotide ribosomal RNA is filed under the name uncultured bacterium. RNAcentral's name for it is "bacterial SSU rRNA". It matches the Rfam family "Bacterial small subunit ribosomal RNA", at positions 791 to 1282 of the family's 1533-position model. The record is from RNAcentral.
UAGUCCACGCCGUAAACGAUGUCAACUAGCCGUUGGGAGCAUAUAAGCUCUGAGUGGCGCAGCUAACGCGAUAAGUUGACCGCCUGGGGAGUACGCCGGCAACGGUAAAACUCAAAUGAAUUGACGGGGGCCCGCACAAGUCGGUGGAGCAUGUGGUUUAAUUCGACGCAGCGCGAAGAACCUUACCUGGCCUUGACAUGCAGAGAACUUUCCAGAGAUGGAUUGGUGCCUUCGGGAACUCUGACACAGGUGCUGCAUGGCCGUCGUCAGCUCGUGUCGUGAGAUGUUGGGUUAAGUCCCGUAACGAGCGCAACCCCUAUCCUUGGUUGCUAGCAGGUAAUGCUGAGAACUCCAGGGAGACUGCCGGUGACAAACCGGAGGAAGGUGGGGAUGACGUCAGGUCAUCAUGGCCCUUACGGCCAGGGCUACACACGUGCUACAAUGGCGUAUACAGAGGGCUGCCAACUCGCGAGAGUGAGCCGAAUCCCUUAAAGU